This 492-nucleotide ribosomal RNA is filed under the name uncultured bacterium. RNAcentral's name for it is "partial 16S ribosomal RNA". It matches the Rfam family "Bacterial small subunit ribosomal RNA", at positions 29 to 507 of the family's 1533-position model. The record is from RNAcentral.
AGUGAACGCUGGCGGUAGGCCUAACACAUGCAAGUCGAACGGCAGCACAGUAAGAGCUUGCUCUUACGGGUGGCGAGUGGCGGACGGGUGAGGAAUACAUCGGAAUCUACUUUUUCGUGGGGGAUAACGAAGGGAAACUUACGCUAAUACCGCAUACGACCUACGGGUGAAAGCAGGGGAUAUUCGGACCUUGCGCGAUUGAAUGAGCCGAUGUCGGAUUAGCUAGUUGGCGGGGUAAAGGCCCACCAAGGCGACGAUCCGUAGCUGGUCUGAGAGGAUGAUCAGCCACACUGGAACUGAGACACGGUCCAUACUCCUACGGUAGGCAGCAGUGGGGAAUAUUGGACAAUGGGCGCAAGCCUGAUCCAGCCAUACCGCGUGGGUGAAGAAGGCCUUCGGGUUGUAAAGCCCUUUUGUUGGGAAAGAAAAGCAGCAGGUUAAUACCCCGCUGUUCUGACGGUACCCAAAGAAUAAGCACCGGCUAACUUCGUG